Molecule: ribosomal RNA, 293 nt
Filed under: uncultured bacterium
Lineage: Bacteria
Description: partial 16S ribosomal RNA
Rfam family: Bacterial small subunit ribosomal RNA
Source: RNAcentral
GGAUUAGAUACCCUGGUAGUCCAUGCUGUAAACGAUGAUAACUAGCCGUUGGGCUCUUGAUGAGUUUAGUGGCGCAGCUAACGCGAUAAGUUAUCCGCCUGGGGAGUACGGCCGCAAGGCUAAAACUCAAAUGAAUUGACGGGAGCCCGCACAAGCGGUGGAGCAUGUGGUUUAAUUCGAUGCAACGCGAAGAACCUUACCUACACUUGACAUCCCUGGAAUUUGAUAGAGAUAUCUUAGUGCCUUCGGGAACCAGGUGACAGGUGCUGCAUGGCUGUCGUCAGCUCGUGUCG